GGAGGGUGCAAGCGUUGUUCGGGAAUCAUUGGGCGUAAAGCGCGUGUAGGCGGCCUAGUAAGUCUGAUGUGAAAGCCCGGGGGCUCAACCCCCGGAAGUGCAUUGGAUACUGCUUGGCUAGAGGGCGAGAGAGGGAAGCGGAAUUCCUGGUGUAGGGGUGAAAUCCGUAGAUAUCAGGAGGAACAUCUGUGGCGAAGGCGGCUUCCUGGCUCGCUACUGACGCUGAGACGCGAAAGCGUGGGGAGCAAACAGGAUUAGAUACCCUGGUAGUCCACGCCCUAAACGAUGGAUACUAGACGUCGGAAUUCCUAAUAGUUUCGGUGUCGCAGCUAACGCAUUAAGUAUCCCGCCUGGGGAUUACGGUCGCAAGAUUA
This 374-nucleotide ribosomal RNA is filed under the name uncultured organism. RNAcentral describes it as "partial 16S ribosomal RNA". It matches the Rfam family "Bacterial small subunit ribosomal RNA", at positions 527 to 896 of the family's 1533-position model. The record is from RNAcentral.